GCUGUUGCGCUCUCCUACCCGCUGAUUGCCGACCACCGACCGCCGCCUCCCCUACCCGCCGUCGACUGCCGCCUCCAGAACGAGAGUACUACCCGCCGCCGACCACCGACCGCCGUCCGCCGUGUCCAGAACUAGAGUGCUACCCGCCGUUACUGAUGAUGAACCAGAGAAGUUGUUAAACGAUGAUUGCGAGCCAAUUACUACUACCUGCCGCUGUAUCCCCAACAAGACAUAUCAAGUUGAAUUAGAGUCAAUGACAAUGAGACUAGAAGAGGAGAAUGAGCCCCUUCUUCGAUGCUUUAAAGACUAGGGAAGGAUUCGCGUGGUCAGAAGAGUGCCAGGCCGCGUUCGAAUGACUUAAGACAUAUCCGCUUUCCCCUCCACUAUUAUCCAAACCAGUGGAGGGUGAGACGUUGUUUCUUUAUUUGGUCACCUCUCAGCAGGCUGUUAGCUCGGUACUAGUCUGAGAGGAAGACAAUGUUUAGCAUCCAAUAUAUUAUGUGAGUAGGCCCUUGAAAGCUGUUGAAAUUCGUUACUCGCCACUUGAAAAAGUGUUCUACGCGCUGGUCAUCACCGCCAGGAAGCUGGUCCCUAUCCGAGUGUUGACAGAUCAACCGUUGGCUGGAGUAUUCAGGAACCCGACUUCUUCCGGUCGGUUAGUCAAUUGGGUUGUCAAGCUCACCCAGUAUGGGAUCGAAUAUCAGCCUCACCCUGCCAUCAAAGCCCAAGUAUUGGCCGACUUUAUAGUCGAGUGCACGGCUCUAAACUCGAAAGACGACUUUGUGACCAUUCUCGAGUCCGAGGGAUGGUUGGAAAUGCAUGCAGAUUGUGCUUCCAACCAAAAGCACCAUGGGGGACGAGUAAUGGUAACUAUCCCAGAAGGCUUUCGAUUGUACUAUGCCUUGGAGUAUCAAUUCAAAACUUCUAACAAUGAAGCCGAGUAUGAGGCCGUCCUUGGCGGGUUACGAGUGGCUAAAGCCUUAGGAACCAUGAAACUUCGCAUUCGAACCGACUCACGUUUGGUAGUCGGGCAAAUGAAAGGAUCUUAUGAGACAAAGGGAGAAAGGAUGAUGCAAUACAAGGAAGGACUGAGGGACUCCUAAAGGAGUUUUAAGCCUAUGAGUGUGAUACCCUGAUUUGUUUUUUUGUUAAGGAAAUUAAUUAUUUAGUUGGGAAUAGCAUUAAUCUUUUGAGCAUAAAAGAAUAAGUAUUAGUUUUUGUUUUUAUAGUGAUUUGAACACUUAACCCUCCCCUUUAAUUCUAAGUUCUAUACCACCAA
Ipomoea triloba (trilobed morning glory) is the source of this 1279-nucleotide long non-coding RNA. RefSeq lists it as uncharacterized. The record is from RefSeq and is a predicted model, not a curated record. The transcript is spliced from 2 exons. NCBI's taxonomy places the organism in Eukaryota, Viridiplantae, Streptophyta, Magnoliopsida, Solanales, Convolvulaceae.